RNA transcript from Manihot esculenta (cassava), 2043 nucleotides. It is a transcript of the gene named CMP-sialic acid transporter 3, with no coding region annotated. The record is from RefSeq and is a predicted model, not a curated record. NCBI's taxonomy places the organism in Eukaryota, Viridiplantae, Streptophyta, Magnoliopsida, Malpighiales, Euphorbiaceae. The transcript is spliced from 17 exons.
ACCUCGUGAAGAACAACCAACGGGUUGGGUAGACAAGCUGCGAUGUUACCAUUUCACCCCUCUGUCUCUCUCACUCUGUGGUGAAAUUAUAAAAUGCUGAAACUGAUAUUGAACGAUUUUCUACUUUGGUCUUCUUCUGAUCUACCAAACUCCAUUUGAUUACAAUCUCUCUGGCGGCUUUGAUCUCUCUGUUCGUCUAUACUUAAGAUUUCCUCGCAAAUCGACCGGUUGUUUUCUUUUAAGUCUUUUUGGUUUGCUAUUGGGGAGGAUGAUAGAAUGCAGUGUUUGCCACUCCAAAUUUUCUCCCACGAGCAAAACCGUUUCCAGAGCUUACGAUAGGCACAGGAUUGAUGUCUCUUCCAAAACUCGAGCACUUAACGUUCUUUUGGUUGUUGGUGAUUGCAUCUUGGUUGGUCUGCAGCCAAUAUUGGUUUAUAUGUCUAAGGUAGAUGGCCAGUUCAAGUUUAGUCCUAUAAGUGUUAACUUCUUGACUGAGGGUGCUAAAGUUCUUUUUGCUAUUGUGAUGCUUUUCAUCCAGGCUCGACAUAAAAAGGUUGGGGAGAAACCUUUUCUCUCUUUUUCUAUCUUUAUACAGGCUGCUCGAAAUAAUGUGCUUCUUGCUGUUCCAGCUCUCCUCUAUGCUAUUAAUAAUUAUUUGAAGUUUAUUAUGCAGCUAUACUUCAAUCCUGCAACUGUGAAAAUGCUGAGCAAUCUGAAGGUUUUAGUAAUUGCAGUCUUGUUGAAAAUAAUCAUGAAGCGACGAUUUUCAAUUAUUCAAUGCGAGGCUCUUGCUCUAUUGCUUAUUGGGAUUAGUGUGAAUCAGUUACGGUCUUUGCCUGAAGGAACCACUGCCAUGGGUCUUCCAGUUGCAACAGGGGCAUACUUGUAUACACUAAUUUUUGUGACUGUUCCAUCACUAGCUUCAGUCUAUAAUGAAUAUGCUUUGAAGAGCCAGUUUGAGACCAGCAUUUAUCUUCAGAACCUUUUUCUGUACGGGUAUGGUGCCAUAUUCAAUUUCCUAGCCAUCCUAGUAACUGCCAUUUUUAAAGGUCCAAGUAGCUUGGAUAUACUGAAAGGUCACUCAAAGGCUACCAUGCUUUUAAUAUGCAACAAUGCAGCACAAGGAAUUUUAUCUUCCUUCUUUUUCAAAUAUGCAGAUACGAUUUUGAAGAAGUACUCGUCAACUGUAGCCACAAUUUUUACAGGAAUUGCAUCUGCUGCACUUUUUGGUCAUACCUUGACUAUGAAUUUUAUCCUAGGAAUCUCUAUUGUGUUCAUCUCCAUGCACCAGUUCUUUUCUCCGCUUUCAAAGGUUAAGGAUGAACCACCAAAAGGUGGUCAGGAAAUGGUGGAUGGUGAAAACAACCAGAGGUCUAAGGAUGCUUCCUUCAUAAAUAUGGCCGCAGGAGCAAAUGAGGAUGCUAGUCACCGAGUUGAACAUGAUGAAAAGGCGCCACUUCUUCCAAUCUAAAAGUUCACUGUGGCCUUGAGGCAUCCAUAGGUGACUGAUUAAAGAUUGUGAGAAUGCUCUUAUAAAUGAUGAGCAGUGAUUAGAAAUACGUGUCAAACUACCAGGAGCUUACAGGUUGAUGGAAAAAAACCCUAAAUGCAUAGAUAGGCCAGGAAUUACCAAUAGCCGAGAAGACCAGCACUUGCAUCAAGACAAUAGAAUAAAUGCUGUAAAAGAGAUUCUUUGUUUCAUCUUGGGGUUGCUUCAAUGUCUAUGGGAACCCACCCACAAUAUACCAUUGAUUAAGCUAUUCUCUAAAGCAUCUUUGCAAGCAUUAGACUCCAUUGAGUACCUGGUUUCUGCAGAAGGGGAAAAAGGUUUAACAAAAAUAUUUAUACAGAAAUGCGGCGAUUUUUGUAAUUCAUCAAUACCAUAUCUAGCAAGAACUAUUACUUUUCGUUGUGAUAUAAAUUCAAAGUUGUACAACACUUUCAUGAAUUUUGGUAAUGUAAAUGUCUCAGAAUACCAUAAUGUGGAAAAGCUGAUAUAUUACAUUGUCUGCCGGUUUCUUGUUGAACAGCAGCAAUUUUACU